Molecule: ribosomal RNA, 625 nt
Filed under: Orbilia luteorubella
Lineage: Eukaryota; Fungi; Ascomycota; Orbiliomycetes; Orbiliales; Orbiliaceae
Description: eukaryotic LSU rRNA
Rfam family: Eukaryotic large subunit ribosomal RNA
Source: RNAcentral
ACCCGCUGAACUUAAGCAUAUCAAUAAGCGGAGGAAAAGAAACCAACAGGGAUUGCCUCAGUAACGGCGAGUGAAGCGGCAACAGCUCAAAUUUGAAAUCUGGAGCCUCCGGCUUCCGAAUUGUAAUUUGAAGAGGAUGUUUCGGUUGUGACCUUGACCCAAGUUCCUUGGAACAGGACGUCGCAGAGGGUGAGAAUCCCGUGCGGUUACAGGUUUGCUUCCACGUGAAACUCCUUCGAAGAGUCGAGUUGUUUGGGAAUGCAGCUCAAAAUGGGUGGUAAAUUUCAUCUAAAGCUAAAUAUUGGCGAGAGACCGAUAGCGCACAAGUAGAGUGAUCGAAAGAUGAAAAGCACUUUGAAAAGAGAGUUAAACAGUACGUGAAAUUGUUGAAAGGGAAGCGCUUGCAAUCAGACUCGCUUUCGGUUGAUCAGGGUUCCUUUUGGUUCCUGCACUCUGCCGUUUGCGGGCCAGCAUCAGUUCGGGCGGUCGGAUAAAGGCUCUGGGAAUGUGGCUCCUUUCGAGGAGUGUUAUAGCCCUCUGCGUAAUACGGCCAGUCCGGAUUGAGGUCCGCGCUUUCGCUAGGAUGCUGGCUUAAUGGUUGUAAGCGACCCGUCUUGAAACACGG